UGAGUAACACGUGCUUAAUCUACCUCUUAGAUUGGAAUACCUAAUGGAAACAUUGGUUAAUGCCGGAUACGCAUGGAGUCGCAUGACUCCGUUGUGAAAGGGGCCUUUAAAGCUCCACUAAGAGAUGAGGGUGCGGAACAUUAGCUAGUUGGUGAGGUAACGGCCCACCAAGGCUAUGAUGUUUAGCCGGGUCAAGAGACUGAACGGCCACAUUGGGACUGAGAUACGGCCCAA
This 234-nucleotide ribosomal RNA is filed under the name uncultured bacterium. Its description in RNAcentral is "partial 16S ribosomal RNA". It matches the Rfam family "Bacterial small subunit ribosomal RNA", at positions 107 to 334 of the family's 1533-position model. The record is from RNAcentral.